RNAcentral lists this unclassified non-coding RNA (497 nucleotides) under Alexandrium affine. Its description in RNAcentral is "partial 5' external transcribed spacer". The record is from RNAcentral. Lineage: Eukaryota; Dinophyceae; Gonyaulacales; Pyrocystaceae.
GGCCCCAUGGGGACAGACUUGCGUGCAUUUGGGCAUGUCUGCAAGCAAAGCAUUGUGAAAUGCAAAAUUUUGGAACACAAUUAACAUACACGUGUUUUUAAUUUGUUUUUUUCAAUUUUCAUUUUUUUAAUUUGUUAAACCGCCGGGAAACCACCAACAGGUCGAGUUAUUACUAUAUGGGGGGCGAGCGCCCCAGGGGUAGAGCAGGCCAUUCUGGCACCGACUGGGUUGGAGCCCGCCGGUGGCUUAAUGGACUUGCUGGUGAUCACGGUGCACACUCUCAUUGGGUGUGGUUGGGUUGAUAAGUAAUGUGUAAGGCACAAUGUGGAUUUCAGCCGAAAGACCUUGAACCAUUGAUUGCUCAAUUGGAAAGGUGACGAUGGAAAUGUGAUGUGGAUUGACAUUGGAACUGUAUGCAAGGGUAUUUGUCUCAAAGGUGGUUUGCAACACAAGUUGUGUGAUGUAGUGCAUUUGUGCACAUGCAUUGCUAGAUCCGA